GGUCCCUUCACUGGUCUGGAGGCUGAUCUCUAAAUCCAAAGGAGUUCUGGACUAUAGAUGGCAAAGGACCAGCAUGCAGUGCUCAGAGCCAUCAGUUGCCUUUUCCCAGCUCUGGAAGUUUUUGAUUCCCUCUGGGUCUUAACCAUGAGCAAACACCAAGGACCAUCAGACCCCUAAGCAAAGUCUUUGCAAGACAGAAGCCACAGAAAACAACUUGAAGUCUGAAGGCUUAAACUUUAAACCUAUACGAAGGAAAAUGUCUACUGAGAAGUGAGGUGCUCUAGCAAGUCAAACGACAGUACUGAGUUCCUGCUGAGAGAUCUGUGAGCUGUUCUGUCCCAUAAACAGUAUCUUUAUGUUAUUUUCAUGUUGGGGGCGGGGAGAUAAUAGUAGAUGGGGAUUAAUGCCAAAGGGUAAACUAUUAAGACAUGGAAGAAAGGACAGAACCAGAGCCUGUAUUUAGCCUCGUUGUGCAAGCAGUCUCAGAGCUGCUCAGCUAACAGCCUGCUCCUCUCCCUGUAUUUCACACUAGGAUUUUUUUCUCUUCCAUGUAAACUCCCAUCAUCCUCCCAUGUGUCUGUCUUUAUUUCUUGGUGUCUCUUCUUCCUGAAGAUCACUACAUUUCAAGCUGUCCAAAAGGUAUCCAGCUGGAAUGUGCUGUCAGCUUGCUGUCUGCUCCACCACUAUUGAUUGGCUAGUCGUUUUGAAUUGAUAGCUGGGCAGUGUCACAUGACUUUCCACCCUCCCUCUCAGUGGGAAUGGCUGUUCUCUGUGGACCUGUUGUUUGAUUUGGCAGAAUUGAGAGGUAGGAGAGAGGAUGGAAAGCCUGUGUAUCUUUGUCCAACUUUUGGAUGCUGUUGCCUGGUAUAUGCCUGGAUCUUGCUUUUCAUGUUUGGGCUAUUUCCUAAAUCUUAAAUAAGAAAAGGCCAUAAAGUCUUACAUUAACUUUUCAAUGUUGCUUUUUAAAACAUCUUACCCAUCCUUGUAAUCUUUGUGGCACAGUUGUUAGGAGUAGUCUGAAGAAACACAACCGGCUGGUAUGAGGAAAGAAGACUGUAGAAAGAAAGUGGCCCUUCCUAAGUUCAGGAUUGCUGCUGCCUUUGGCAAACCAGACCCUGCAUCCAAAGGUGGCAUGUAGCAUUCUCAAAGGAGACCUUGGCUUGUAGCCAUGAUCGAUUGAUCGAUCGAUCGUUGUGAGCUUUGUUUGUGUCUUUAUGUUUCAUUCUUCACUGUGUUUCAACAUUUCAGAAGUACGAAACCUCCUGCUCCCCAUAGAUGACUCUUUUUGUGACCCCUUCAUUCAUUCUCUCCUUCAUUUCUUCUCUCCUGUUGUUUUCUUUUUGUUCCUUGCAACUUCCCAGGAUUGUUAGUUGUUUUUUGUUUUUUUUAUUUAGGCUUUGUUUCUUUCUUUCUUUUUUUUUUUAAGUUCCUCUUUAAUUUAAGCACAAACACACUCUAUCUUGCAUUUGAAAAAACAACCUGUCCUGUUAACCAUAUCACUUUAACCCAAUUGUUCUUUGUAUUUUCUAAGGAGCCACUUCAGUUCGAAAAGAAGUCAUCAGGAAUAAAAUCCGAGCCAUUGGGAAAAUGGCACGGGUCUUUACAGUUCUUCGGGAAGAGAGUGAGAAUGUGCUGAUUCUCAAGGGCCUCACUCCCACAGGCACACUCCCACUCGGGGUCCUCUCUGGAGGAAAGCAGACCAUUGAGACUGCCAAACUACAAGCAGCAGAGGAGCGGGAAGCCAUCAGAGGUUUUACAAUUGCACACAGGAUCCGAAGUUUUGAAGAAGCCCGAGGUCUAGACCGAAUUAAUGAGAGAAUGCCACCCCGAAAAGAGGCUUCUUAUCACCAUGAUGCAGGAAAGACACACCCACACCCGUCAAAAAGGAGCGACCAUGGAAAGAAAGCCCUGUAAUGACUCAGGGCCCUGUGCAGCUGGGACCCAACCCCAUGAACAAAUCAUAUUUAUUUAUACUGGAAUUUAAACAGGAACAACUCAAACAACUUAAA
RNAcentral lists this long non-coding RNA (2009 nucleotides) under Rattus norvegicus (Norway rat). RNAcentral describes it as "long non-coding RNA NONRATT011056". Lineage: Eukaryota; Metazoa; Chordata; Mammalia; Rodentia; Muridae. The record is from RNAcentral.